AUGACAUUUAAUAUUGUGGUUCUACUGAUGACAAUAGGCUUGAUAGGUGUCCAGGGUCAGACACUGACUGAGUCUGGACCAGCGGUUAAAACGCCUGGAGAAUCACACCAACUGACCUGUACAGCUUCUGGGUUCACUUUCAGUAGCUACUGGAUGGCUUGGAUCAGACAGCCUCCUGGGAAAGAACUGGAGUGGGUUUCCUAUAUUAGCAGUGGUAGGAGUUCCAUCUACUACUCCCAGUCAGUUCAGGGUCGGUUCACCAUCUCCAGAGACAACAGCAAGCAGCAGAUGUAUCUCCAGAUGAACAGCCUGAAGACUGAAGACUCUGCUGUUUAUUAUUGUGCCAGAGACACACACUGUGAUGCUUUUGACUACUGGGGUAAAGGGACACAAGUCACCGUCUCAACAGCAACCAUAGCCCCCCCUACUCUGCUCACUCUUAUGAACUGUGGAACCCCUACUAACAACGUCUACAGCAUCGGUUGUGUCGCUACCGGGUUUUCUCCUUCCUCACUCACCUUCAAAUGGACAGACGCCAGCGGGAGUGCGCUGACGGACUUCAUCCAGUACCCGGCGGUCCAGAGCGGGGAAACCUACACAGGAGUCAGUCAGCUCCGCGUGGAUGAGAAUGUCUGGAAAACCUCAACGACUUUCAAAUGUUCCGUGGAACAUCCUGGAGGUGAAAAGACAGCAGACAUAAAAAAAAACAGGUAA
Coregonus clupeaformis (lake whitefish) is the source of this 714-nucleotide non-coding RNA. The record is from the annotation of a RefSeq genome assembly. Lineage: Eukaryota; Metazoa; Chordata; Actinopteri; Salmoniformes; Salmonidae.